GCCUGCUCAGCUCACUCCGAAAGCCUCUGCUCAGACCUGCACCCAGUCACAGCAGCACAGAUGUGCAGGAGGAGACCAUUUCCACGGACCCUCCGACUCCUAGGAGGCAACAGGGCCUCCCCUGGAUGGGAUCUUCCUCUGAGGCGAGCUUCAGAUCUGCUCAAGCUUCCUGCAGUGGGGCCAGGAGGCAGGGCCUGGGCAGGGGAGACCAGAACCUCUCGGUGAUGC
RNAcentral lists this long non-coding RNA (228 nucleotides) under Homo sapiens (human). RNAcentral's name for it is "non-protein coding lnc-ARHGAP32-3:1". Lineage: Eukaryota; Metazoa; Chordata; Mammalia; Primates; Hominidae. The record is from RNAcentral.